Molecule: long non-coding RNA, 101 nt
Organism: Hyaena hyaena (striped hyena)
Lineage: Eukaryota; Metazoa; Chordata; Mammalia; Carnivora; Hyaenidae
Exons: 2
Source: RefSeq, a predicted model, not a curated record
GGGGCCCCGUCCUACCAAGGAGGAGGAUUCUGGUCCAGACGGCACAGCAACAAGGAACAGAUCAGCAACAACUUCUCUGACUGAAAAAUAGGCACGCAAAG